This 253-nucleotide ribosomal RNA is filed under the name uncultured bacterium. RNAcentral's name for it is "partial 16S ribosomal RNA". It matches the Rfam family "Bacterial small subunit ribosomal RNA", at positions 524 to 776 of the family's 1533-position model. The record is from RNAcentral.
UACGGAGGCCUCGAGCGUUGUUCGGAAUCACUGGGCUUAAAGCGCGUGUAGGCGGGACGGUAAGUACCUUGUGAAAUCCCCGGCUUCAAUCCGGGAACUGCUUGGUAUACUGCCGUUCUUGAGGCAGGUAGGGGUCACUGGAACCUUAGGUGGAGCGGUGAAAUGCGUAGAUAUCUAAGGGAACGCCUGUGGCGAAAGCGGGUGACUGGGCCUGAUCUGACGCUGAGACGCGAAAGCGUAGGGAGCAAACGGG